GAUGAACGCUGGCGGCGUGCCUAAUACAUGCAAGUCGAGCGAACGGACGAGAAGCUUGCUUUUCUGAUGUUAGCGGCGGACGGGUGAGUAACACGUGGAUAACCUACCUAUAAGACUGGGAUAACUUCGGGAAACCGGAGCUAAUACCGGAUAAUAUUUCGAACCGCAUGGUUCAAAAGUGAAAGACGGUCUUGCUGUCACUUAUAGAUGGAUCCGCGCUGCAUUAGCUAGUUGGUAAGGUAACGGCUUACCAAGGCAACGAUGCAUAGCCGACCUGAGAGGGUGAUCGGCCACACUGGAACUGAGACACGGUCCAGACUCCUACGGGAGGCAGCAGUAGGGAAUCUUCCGCAAUGGGCGAAAGCCUGACGGAGCAACGCCGCGUGAGGGAUGAAGGUCUUCGGAUCGUAAAACUCUGUUAUUAGGGAAGAACAUAUGUGUAAGUAACUGUGCACAUCUUGACGGUACCUAAUCAGAAAGCCACGGCUAACUACGUG
This 497-nucleotide ribosomal RNA is filed under the name uncultured bacterium. RNAcentral describes it as "partial 16S ribosomal RNA". It matches the Rfam family "Bacterial small subunit ribosomal RNA", at positions 28 to 507 of the family's 1533-position model. The record is from RNAcentral.